GGGUGUGUAUAGAGUGGCGAACGGGUGAGUAACACGUGACCAACCUGCCUCUUACAUUGGGACAACCAAAAGAAAUUCUGGCUAAUACCAAAUACUCCGCACAUAUCACAUGAUGUAUGCGGGAAAGCUUUUGCGGUAAGAGAUGGGGUCGCGGCCCAUUAGGUAGACGGCGGGGUAGAAGCCCACCGUGCCGAUGAUGGGUAGCCGGGUUGAGAGACCGACCGGCCACAUUGGGACUGAGAUACGGCCCAGACUCCUACGGGAGGCAGCAGUGGGGAAUAUUGCGCAAUGGGGGAAACCCUGACGCAGCAACGCCGCGUGCGGGAUGAAGGCCUUCGGGUUGUAAACCGCUUUCAGCAGGGAAGACAUCGACGGU
Molecule: ribosomal RNA, 376 nt
Filed under: uncultured bacterium
Lineage: Bacteria
Description: bacterial SSU rRNA
Rfam family: Bacterial small subunit ribosomal RNA
Source: RNAcentral